CUUUCUCUCACAUAAGCACACAAUGGGAGGCAGCCAUGUGCAAGCCAGGAAGAAAACCCUCACCAGAAACCAACCCGGUGAUGCUUUGAUCUUGGACUUUCAGCCUCCAGAACUGUGUGUCUGUUGUUAGGCAACCUUUAUUUAGUCAUGGUGACUUCCUAUUUCCCCAGCUCAGAAUCAGGCACAUCAUUGUAGUGGUGGGGCAACCUUGCUGAACUCAGUUUGUCUUCUAGGCACAUACCCUCCAAAACUCCCUUAGCAUUCUAAAGGCCAUCCUUUGGAACACUGGUCAUGCUCACAAACACUUCUGGAUUCUUCUUAUUUUUCCUCAAACUGCAUUCUCUUGUAGAUGGCAGAUGGCAAUCCUGGGAAUGGACCUACAGACUUGUGCAUCUCAGUUCAUGUGCAGGAUUAGUAGUGAUUUAUGACUUAUUUAUUACUUACAAGGGGCAUCACAGGCUGGGUCUUCUCUGUAGCCCCUACAGAGGCCUCACUCAGCAGAUCUCCACACGUUACGCGCAAAGUCCUAACCGUAGUGGCUUUUGGCUGUUCUUCAAAGCACUCACAUAUAGCAGCACAUGGUUGUGCAUCUAGAAAUUUUCAAAUCAUCCCUUCCUAGAUAGGAACAGGAAGGCACCAGCGACACAGGGGUCUAGCCAGUGGCAUGCUGUGUUCUUACUGAACCUGUUUAAAAAGAACUGCUUACACCGGGCCCCAAUGUGCCUUCUGCUGGCUGUCUCACGCA
This 745-nucleotide long non-coding RNA is filed under the name Heterocephalus glaber (naked mole-rat). RNAcentral describes it as "lncRNA (ENSHGLG00100033689.1)". Lineage: Eukaryota; Metazoa; Chordata; Mammalia; Rodentia; Bathyergidae. The record is from RNAcentral.